GAUGAACGCUGGCGGCGUGCCUAACACAUGCAAGUCGAGCGACCGGACAAGAAGAUCGUUCUCUUGCUGUUAGCGGGUGGCGGGCGGGUAAGGAAUACAUCACAUACUUCUAUUUCUUGGGUAAUUUCGUGAAACAGGUGACACUACUAGCUAAUAUUAUGAACGGGUUGGAUCAAAGGUUCUUGACGGUUUUCCCGAUUGUUUUAGCUGACGCCGGAUUACCUAGUUGGCUUGGUAAAGGCCCACCAAGGCGACGAUGCGUAGCAGGGCUGAGAGGAUGAUCAGCCACACUGGAACUGAGACACGGUCCAGACUCCUACGGGAGGCAGCAGUGGGGAAUAUUGGGCAAUGGGCGAAAGCCUGAUGCAGCAACGCCGCGUGGGUGAAGAAGGCCUUCGGGUCGUAAAGCCCUGUUGUUGGGAAAGAAAAGAAGUAGGUUAAACCCCGGACGUCCUGACGGUACCCAAAGAAUAAGCAACGGCUAACUUCGUG
Molecule: ribosomal RNA, 492 nt
Filed under: uncultured bacterium
Lineage: Bacteria
Description: partial 16S ribosomal RNA
Rfam family: Bacterial small subunit ribosomal RNA
Source: RNAcentral